CUCCAUGAUGUAAAUGGCAUAAUCUUUUAGAUCAAAACAAAUCAGCGCGCACCCUUAGAAUGCAUUAAUGCCAUUCACAAAUGGGAAUACAACAGCUGCCUCCAAAUCUAUUUGACGGCUUUUGCCAAAGUAAGAUGACAAAAGAGAAGACAAAUACAUACACCUUGCAAGCAUCUGUCUUCGCUGAUGGGGCUGCUGCUUAGAAGACCACAGCCGUAGCAUAAUUUAUGCAUUCAUGAAAGGCAGUUGGCCUGUUCCUCUGGGACUGAAAAUGUCACCUCGGCUAGACCAGGGCCUGGAAUUUCAACCGCAUUCUUGAACUUGUGUUGCCCAGUUACUGUUUGGGUGUUUUAAUACAAG
Euleptes europaea (tarantolino) is the source of this 360-nucleotide long non-coding RNA. RefSeq lists it as uncharacterized. NCBI's taxonomy places the organism in Eukaryota, Metazoa, Chordata, Lepidosauria, Squamata, Sphaerodactylidae. The record is from RefSeq and is a predicted model, not a curated record. The transcript is spliced from 2 exons.